CCUACGGGAGGCUGCAGUGGGGAAUAUUGCACAAUGGGCGCAAGCCUGAUGCAGCCAUGCCGCGUGUGUGAAGAAGGCCUUCGGGUUGUAAAGCACUUUCAGCGGGGAGGAAGGCGUUAAGGUUAACAACCUUGGCGAUUGACGUUACCCGCAGAAGAAGCACCGGCUAACUCCGUGCCAGCAGCCGCGGUAAUACGGAGGGUUCAAGCGUUAAUCGGAAUUACUGGGCGUAAAGCGCACGCAGGCGGUCUGUCAAGUCGGAUGUGAAAUCCCCGGGCUCAACCUGGGAACUGCAUUCGAAACUGGCAGGCUAGAGUCUUGUAGAGGGGGGUAGAAUUCCAGGUGUAGCGGUGAAAUGCGUAGAGAUCUGGAGGAAUACCGGUGGCGAAGGCGGCCCCCUGGACAAAGACUGACGCUCAGGUGCGAAAGCGUGGGGAGCAAACAGGAUUAGAUACCCGUGUAGUC
This 465-nucleotide ribosomal RNA is filed under the name uncultured Klebsiella sp. Its description in RNAcentral is "bacterial SSU rRNA". It matches the Rfam family "Bacterial small subunit ribosomal RNA", at positions 338 to 795 of the family's 1533-position model. The record is from RNAcentral. Lineage: Bacteria; Pseudomonadati; Pseudomonadota; Gammaproteobacteria; Enterobacterales; Enterobacteriaceae.